UUCAGGGAAGGCUGUGGUGUCUCUGUGAAGAUGCAACUUCUGCAUCUUAUUCUGUGCCUGAUGACAGGUUUCCAAAGUGUGCUGCUCCAGGUGCAGCUGCAGGAGUCUGGAGCUGGCCUGGUGAAGCCCUCACAGACCUUGUCUCUCAUCUGCUCAGUCUCUGGGGUCUCCAUCACCAGCAGUGGUCACUGGGGGAACUGGAUCCGUCAGACCCAAGGAAAGAGAUUGGAUUGGAUGGGGUACAUAAGUUACAAUGGUGGCACCAGCUACAGCCCAGCCCUCAAAAGCCGCAUCUCCAUCUUCAGAGACACAGCUAAUAACCAGUUCUCCCUUCAGUUGAACUCUGUGACUGAAGAUGACACAGCUGUGUACUACUGUGUAGAUAGCACAGUGAACAGACGUCAGUCACAAACCUCCCUGCAGGGUGCUCAGGACCAGCAGGUGGUGCUCAGCACACACUGCUGUAGGGAUCGGACUUCAUAG
This is a non-coding RNA of Octodon degus (degu), 483 nucleotides long. Lineage: Eukaryota; Metazoa; Chordata; Mammalia; Rodentia; Octodontidae. The record is from the annotation of a RefSeq genome assembly.